RNAcentral lists this ribosomal RNA (515 nucleotides) under Alternaria alternata. RNAcentral describes it as "eukaryotic LSU rRNA". The stretch from base 152 to 305 matches the Rfam family "5.8S ribosomal RNA". The record is from RNAcentral. Lineage: Eukaryota; Fungi; Ascomycota; Dothideomycetes; Pleosporales; Pleosporaceae.
GCGGGCUGGACCUCUCGGGGUUACAGCCUUGCUGAAUUAUUCACCCUUGUCUUUUGCGUACUUCUUGUUUCCUUGGUGGGUUCGCCCACCACUAGGACAAACAUAAACCUUUUGUAAUUGCAAUCAGCGUCAGUAACAAAUUAAUAAUUACAACUUUCAACAACGGAUCUCUUGGUUCUGGCAUCGAUGAAGAACGCAGCGAAAUGCGAUAAGUAGUGUGAAUUGCAGAAUUCAGUGAAUCAUCGAAUCUUUGAACGCACAUUGCGCCCUUUGGUAUUCCAAAGGGCAUGCCUGUUCGAGCGUCAUUUGUACCCUCAAGCUUUGCUUGGUGUUGGGCGUCUUGUCUCUAGCUUUGCUGGAGACUCGCCUUAAAGUAAUUGGCAGCCGGCCUACUGGUUUCGGAGCGCAGCACAAGUCGCACUCUCUAUCAGCAAAGGUCUAGCAUCCAUUAAGCCUUUUUUUUCAACUUUUGACCUCGGAUCAGGUAGGGAUACCCGCUGAACUUAAGCAUAUCA